RNAcentral lists this RNase P RNA (346 nucleotides) under bovine gut metagenome. Its description in RNAcentral is "Bacterial RNase P class A". It matches the Rfam family "Bacterial RNase P class A". Rfam says of the family: Ribonuclease P (RNase P) is a ubiquitous endoribonuclease, found in archaea, bacteria and eukarya as well as chloroplasts and mitochondria. Its best characterised activity is the generation of mature 5'-ends of tRNAs by cleaving the 5'-leader elements of precursor-tRNAs. The record is from RNAcentral.
UAGUCGGAUAAUCGCGUUUGUGAGAACAAAUGAGGAAAGUCCGUGCAUUCAAGAACAGGGCUCCGGAGAAACUCCGGACGGUGUGAGCCGGUGGAUAGUGCCACAGAAAUGUAGACGGUCGAUGGCUCUGCAAACAGAGUACAGACAAAGGUGCAACGGUGAGUUAAGAGCUUCACCAGCGAUAUCGAGAGGUAUCGGCUAGGUAAACCCAGCUCGAAUGCAAGAUUAAAUCGAGGGUUAUAAAGGUUGUUCGCCCACCUCGGAAAAAUCGCUAGAGUUUGUGAGUAAUCACAUUCCCAGACAGAUGAUUAUCAACUAAAACAGAACACGGCUUAUGAGCUGCUUU